GACGAACCGAGCGAACGUUGUUCGGAAUCACUGGGCUUAAAGGGCGCGUAGGCGGGCAUUCAAGUCCGUGGUGAAAUCCUCCAGCUCAACUGGAGAACUGCCGCGGAUACUGGGUGUCUCGAGGGAGGUAGGGGCAUGCGGAACUAACGGUGGAGCGGUGAAAUGCGCAGAUAUCGGGAGGAACACCAGCGGCGAAGGCGGCACUCUGGGCUGGAACUGACGCUGAGGAGCGAAAGCGUGGGUAGCAAACAGG
RNAcentral lists this ribosomal RNA (253 nucleotides) under uncultured bacterium. Its description in RNAcentral is "partial 16S ribosomal RNA". It matches the Rfam family "Bacterial small subunit ribosomal RNA", at positions 524 to 776 of the family's 1533-position model. The record is from RNAcentral.